This 465-nucleotide ribosomal RNA is filed under the name uncultured Klebsiella sp. Its description in RNAcentral is "bacterial SSU rRNA". It matches the Rfam family "Bacterial small subunit ribosomal RNA", at positions 338 to 795 of the family's 1533-position model. The record is from RNAcentral. Lineage: Bacteria; Pseudomonadati; Pseudomonadota; Gammaproteobacteria; Enterobacterales; Enterobacteriaceae.
CCUACGGGUGGCAGCAGUGGGGAAUAUUGCACAAUGGGCGCAAGCCUGAUGCAGCCAUGCCGCGUGUGUGAAGAAGGCCUUCGGGUUGUAAAGCACUUUCAGCGGGGAGGAAGGCGUUAAGGUUAAUAACCUUGUCGAUUGACGUCACCCGCAGAAGAAGCACCGGCUAACUCCGUGCCAGCAGCCGCGGUAAUACGGAGGGUGCAAGCGUUAAUCGGAAUUACUGGGCGUAAAGCGCACGCAGGCGGUCUGUCAAGUCGGAUGUGAAAUCCCCGGGCUCAACCUGGGAACUGCAUUCGAAACUGGCAGGCUAGAGUCUUGUAGAGGGGGGUAGAAUUCCAGGUGUAGCGGUGAAAUGCGUAGAUAUCUGGAGGAAUACCGGUGGCGAAGGCGGCCCCCUGGACAAAGACUGACGCUCAGGUGCGAAGGCGUGGGGAGCAAACAGGAUUAGAUACCCCUGUAGUC